GAGGAGGAGGAAGAGGAGGAAGAAGGGAUUGCCGCGCUGGACGGCGACCAGAUGGAGCUAGGGGAGGAGAACGGGGCGGCGGGGGCGGCCGACUCGGGCCCGAUGGAGGAGGAGGAGGCCGCCUCGGAAGACGAGAACGGCGACGAUCAAGGUUUCCAGGAAGGAGAGGACGAGCUCGGAGACGAGGAGGAAGGCGCGGGCGACGAGAACGGGCACGGGGAGCAGCAGCCUCAACCGCCGGCGACGCCGCAGCAACAGCCCCCACAGCAGCGCGGGGCCGCCAAGGAGGCCGCGGGGAAGAGCAGCGGCCCCACCUCGCUGUUCGCGGUGACGGUGGCGCCGCCCGGGGCGAGGCAGGGCCAGCAGCAGGCGGGAGGUAAGAAGAAGGCGGAAGGCGGCGGAGGCGGCGGUCGCCCCGGGGCUCCGGCGGCGGGUGAGUGCUGCGUUGUACGUUGCGCGCGGCGGGAGGCCCGCGUGGGGUGGGGACCGUGCCCCAGGCCAGCCGGAGCCCCGCAGGGGGGAGGGAGCCCCGGGCGGGGGCUGCUGCGCGGUGGGGGAGGGGCAUGGGGAAUCCCGGAUUAAGCGAGAGGCCUCGGGCUCAGUGUGACGGUGGUGGCAGUGCCUCCAUUAUGUGGCUCGGGAGCCGGGGGGGAGCUGCAGCUGCCGCUGGACGGGGGGGUAGCCCUGUCGGCCCGCGGUGGCGCCGCCGCGCUGCGUGCGCGAGGUGCGGGCACAUGUCUCGGGGGGAGGGGAGAGGCCCGAGGUCCCGGGGCGGGCGCGCUUUGGCGGCUCUUCGCCGCGGUAUUGUGCAAGGAGCGCAGGGGCUCGACGUGACGUCACUUCCGGCGGGAGGAGCCGGGCGCGGAGAGUGGGGCGGAAGAUCAGUACAAUGCGGCGGCGGGGCGCGCGGGCCCGGGUAGAGUGGGGGAGGGGAGGGCGGGCCGCGCGAGCCCCGCUUGGCCCCUCCCCCCUUCCUGAACUCUCGUCGGGAUGCACGUGGGCUCCGGGCUUGGGCCGCGCUCUUUUUCUUUGGCUUUCUCGAAUUGUCUAGUAGACUGGUAAAAUUAGUAACGUCUUUAGACUGCGUCACUAAUCUCCAGUUCAAUUCCAAGCUGAUUGUUCUUUGAAUUCACAUUUGGUUCGUCGAUUAAAAGGUCCUAAAAAAAAAUAACAGGGUGAAGUCGAGGACUUCUGCGCCUUGAAACAGAAAAGGUGGUGGGUUAUUGUAUUGUUUUGAUUCUAUUUUUAAGAAAUUUUUUGGCCACUUGGCAUCUCAAAGAGUGUUGUGUGUUAUAGGAGACGGCAAAACAGAACAGAAAGGCGGAGAUAAAAAGAGAGGUGUUAAAAGACCUCGAGAAGAUCAUGGCCGAGGAUAUUUUGAGUACAUUGAAGAAAACAAGUACAGCAGGUACAGGAUACGAACCUAGUUUGGCUUGUACCCAUUCUUCAUGCUUUGGUAGGAAAAGCUAUAUCAGGAGACAAUUCUGUCUUUCAGAGCCAAGUCUCCUCAGCCACCUGUUGAAGAAGAAGAUGAGCACUUCGAUGACACAGUGGUUUGUCUUGAUACUUGUAAGUGAAGCUGAUACUCUUAUCCCCCCUGCCCCCCAGUUAUUGAAUACAGUGGUUUUUUUGGUUCCAAAAUGUUAGAAAACUUAAUGUUGAACUUAAGUGAAGAAAGCUUAGGUUAGUGUUUUCUAAAGGCAGGAAGAUAAUGGUUUUUAUUUUGGAUUCUGGUAGUAUUUAAUGUUUAGUACGACUGCACUUUCAUUGAUAAUUUAAUAGGUUGUAGCAAUUUGAUAACAUUUUAUGACUUAAACUCAUUCUUAAUGCCAAUUUUUGACUAACAGAAAAUUGUAAAACUACUUAUCACUGUCCUUAUAAGGCUUCUACGAUAAUGUCUUUUGUGUGUGGAAUUAUAUUAAGUGAGCUAUUUGGGUUUGUUAAAUAUUUACUAAUGACUUUUCCCAUUAGCACACAAGUAUAUUCCCUAUUCUAAAAGAUUGUAAUAUUACUUUUUCAAUAACUGCUCUUUUGUUCUCAAUUCCAGUUCAGUAGCUGCUGCUUUAACAUAAGUUGAUUUCUUCCAAAGACCUGGGGCAGCAGCAGUGGGCUAUCACUGGGCCACUAGCUUUCUUCAGCAGCGAAUGGUAUCCACGGCAGCGCUGUAAAUACUGCUACUUUACCCAGUUGGGCUGCAAUUGAGUAUGAGGAAGUAUUGCAAACCUCUUAAGUGGGCCUUGGCUGUCAGACUUGCAUUUUUUAAUUAUAAAAAAAUUAUUGAUUUAGUGUUUGGUCAGAAUGCACAACUCUUCGAGAUUAAUAGAAUGAAGGGUAGAAAUAAAUUCUUGAGGAGGAGGAGGUAAGGUAAUAACCUGUUCUGGUAGCUAAGAGGAGUUGAAGCUUAGAUUUUUCAUGUUUCCUUGUACGAUUGUGGAUUGUGUUAAGUGUGAAACUUGAUUUCUUUUUGAAUACCCCUUACAGGUAGUUGAGUCUUAAAACUGCAAAGUAGUUGAAUUGAAAGUUUUAUGUCAAAUUCAGUUGCUUAAAUACAAAAUUGGUAGGAAUUGGCAAGGUGCUGAAGCAGUGAUUCAGAAGGGGUAAUGUCAUUGCAUAGGAAUUGGGUUUUUAUUGCCUAUUACCAGGAGUAUUAGUUUAUUAAGGGUGAUAAUGGGUGUAGACACAAUUUGUUUAAUUAUAUAUCAAUGAUGAUCAGAAAUUUUAGGAGCAAAGCUUAUUUAAGGAGAAUUCUAAACUGAUCAGAUUGAUCAAUUCUAAAUUCUAAAUUGAUCAGAUUAAACUCUGAUCAAUUAAAACUAAAUAAAACUGCUUUCUAAAUUGAGGUUAGUUGUCUUGUCAAGGGAGAACUCUUGAGAAAAUACAUGUUAAUGAGCUAGUGACCCAAAGAUAGCUAGGUAAAAGACGAUUUGGAUAAUCCAGGAAGUGGUUAAUCUCCAAUUGUUAUAACUGGAAAGCUUCUGCAAGGGGACCUAAAAUGCUGUAGUAAACCUUUAGAUGACCAGGUUAGUGGGUUCAGGCUGUCUGAUGCACAAGUUGUAGAAAAGAAUUAAGGACCUGGAACCGGGGUGUUAAGUUACAAAGUGCAGGAUCAACAGCUCAUACUCUUUAUUUUAAAACAUUGGUGGUGGCCUCCCUUCAGUUUUAUUGUGGCACUGGUAAAUUCUACCUGGUUCUGGCAUGCUUCACUUUGAUUUCCUGCUAUCCUCUACUGCUUGCCUCUAAAUCAAGGUAAAGAGCAGAGCAGGUAUGUAUUGUCACAUUGUCUCAAUUUUGCUUAAAACACAUUAAGCCUUGGUUAAUUUAAUAGGAAGUUUAUUCUAGUACAUAAUUGACAAGUGACUUGGUGGGAGUGGGGUUUAAAUUGAAAGUUGGAACAGCAUGAUAUAUAAAAACUUAUGCAGCAUUAAAAUACUUGUAAAAACUUAACCAAAUUUUGUCUACAUAGCAGAAAUACAUAUAUUAGACGUCAAAGGAAUAAUUGGUAUUUUAUAUAAUUACAGAUAAUUGUGAUCUACAUUUUAAAAUAUCAAGAGAUCGCCUCAGUGCUUCUUCUCUUACUAUGGAGAGUUUUGCUUUUCUUUGGGCUGGAGGAAGGGCAUCUUAUGGUGUGUCAAAAGGCAAAGUCUGCUUUGAGAUGAAGGUAAAUGCAAUUUUGUGGUGUGCCCCCCACCAUUUUGGCUUUUUAAAUCAUACCUGAAAAAGCUACCGAGGAUUUUUUUAAAAACUGGCUAAAUUUUAAAGUACAAAUUUUUAAAAAAACUUCUAGCUAAUUGAAACCUUUCUUGCUCUGAGUUAAAAAGUGCUCACUUUUAAAGUUCUUAUAAAUAAAGGAUAGGGAGCAGGGAAAGAAGGAGAAUCGGGUGUCUUCUCCCCAAGUGAGAGAAGUCAGGAUUCAGGAGUUUAUCUUUCUUGAUUUACAGUUUGGUUUAAUGAUUUCACUUUUCAGGUUACAGAGAAGAUUCCUGUAAGGCAUUUAUAUACAAAAGAUAUUGACAUUCAUGAAGUUCGAAUUGGCUGGUCACUGACUACAAGUGGAAUGUUGCUUGGUAAAGUUUCCAUUUGAGUACUGAGGGCUCUGAUUAGAGUCUGAUUUCAGUUAAAGAUUUAGAAGGCUUUCUAACUAUAGUUAAACAUUCUGUUAGUAUUUUACAAAUGGGUAAUGCUAGCAUGUGGCAGACAAGCUGAAUUUUGGCUUUUCAGUGAUUUUUAAAAAAUGUAGGACAUGGUUAAAUUUUAUCCAUUACUCCGUAUUUAUGUGUAUAUAUUCAAGCUUGCUCUGGUAGAUAAGUUGAAGAUUGUUAGCUUAUUUGUACUCUACAUGUUAAGUAAUAAAAACAGUGGGGCUUUGGACUGUUUAAAAAACAUCAGUUUCAUGCAAGUUAUUUUCUUAGGUGAAGAAGAAUUUUCGUAUGGGUAUUCUCUAAAAGGAAUUAAAACGUGCAACUGUGAGACAGAAGAUUAUGGAGAGAAGUUUGAUGAAAAUGAUGUUAUUACAUGUUUUGCUGUAAGUUAUUGCUAAAAUUCGUUAUAUAAGUGAAAAUAUCGUUUAGAAAUUCUAAAAAAAUUAAGGUCUGGAUCAGCUUUUAGUAUGAUAGAUAAAAAUGCAUGCACUGGUUUUGGGUUAAAGACUAGUAGAAGUUGAAAACUGGAAAGGUAAGGGAAAUUUUUAAGGAAGCAUUUUGACAAAUUAUUAAACAUAAAAUUGGCCUGAAAAAUCUAAUCCGUCAUCUGGGGCAAUGUUUUUGAUUCUGUAUGUGUUUCAUUCUAAUGUUCAAAAAGCUGUUAGCAUUUAACCUAUAAAAAUAUUUUCUAAGGGUAAGCUUACUCCUUAUUUGAAUUUUGAUUUUUUUUUUUUUGGAAAGAUUGUAGGAAGCAGAUUCAAAUGUAAAUUUUUUUUCUUCUAUUUAACAGAACUUUGAAAAUGAUGAAGUAGAACUCUCCUAUGCCAAGAAUGGACAAGAUCUUGGCGUUGCCUUCAAAAUUAGUAAGGAAGUUCUUGCUGGACGACCACUCUUUCCGCAUGUUCUCUGCCAUAACUGUGCAGUUGAAUUUAAUUUUGGUCAGAAGGAAAAGCCAUAUUUUCCAAUACCUGAAGACUAUACUUUUAUCCAGAAUGUCCCCCUAGAGGAUCGAGUUAGAGGACCAAAGGGGCCUGAAGAGAAGAAAGAUUGUGAAGUGAGUCAUUUUAUUUUUUGUAAAUGUGGCAUUUGAAGAUUGCUUUUGUUUGACAAAAGUGUUUUAUUUGCUUUCAUAUGUUAUACCUGAUGCUCCCAGCCAAUGAUUUUUCAUUUGCCUUUAUAGAUAAUAGUAAACUUUCCAUGAACAAAUCUUGAUGUGUCAUCUAAAGAAUUUGGAUGUACUUAAAAAUGAAAUUUUUUCCACUUGCAGGUUGUUAUGAUGAUUGGCUUGCCAGGAGCUGGAAAAACUACCUGGGUUACUAAACAUGCAGCUGAAAAUCCUGGUAAAUACAACAUUCUUGGAACAAAUACCAUUAUGGAUAAAAUGAUGGUAAGUAAAAAUGUUGGGUCUGAUUUCAGCAUUUAAAGGAGGCCCAAAAAGGGGGAUAGUGGACCGCAGCUCAGUGAGAGUCCUUGCCACGAAUGUGCAAGGGUUUGGUUAUUGUCAAUCCCUAGCACUUAAAAACAAAAACAAAACAAAACAAAAACAACCUUAAUACUUAUUUAAGAAGACAUUGAAGGUAUUCUGUGUAACUCCCCCUCUUCUUAAAAUGUAUUUUGUUAAUAUAUUAGGGGGUGGGCAAAACAAAAUUAAUUAUUGGGUUACUUCAAUUAGCUCUCAAUCUGUAAGGCAAAUUGCAUUCUAGUUGAUAGGCUUAGUCAUCUUUUUCAUAGAUUUUUUUUUUUAAUUUUUUAGCAAUGAGAAGAAUUCAGUGGUCUUACAAUAUGAUAAAAAGCACUACUUUUUGAUAGCAAUAAGGGAAGUACAGUGUUCAAACAUUUAAAUUAUAAAGUGUUACUUGUUGCUUCCCAUAUAGAUCUAAGCUGGUAUUAAACACACGUGACUUGAUUCACAAAUUCAAAUGAAAAUUUUAAAUUUUAAAAAUAGGUGGCAGGUUUUAAAAAACAAAUGGCAGAUACUGGAAAACUGAACACACUGUUGCAGAGAGCCCCACAGUGUCUUGGAAAGUUUAUCGAGAUUGCUGCCCGCAAGAAACGAAAUUUCAUUCUGGAUCAGGUGAGUUGUAGCUUAGAAGUUGAAAAAAUGUUAACUGGUACUUGGUUUGGUAUGGAAUUAAUGUUUAAGGUUAUAAACUUAUUAUUUUUUUCCUUUACAAGACAAAUGUAUCUGCUGCUGCCCAGAGGAGAAAAAUGUGCCUGUUUGCAGGUUUCCAACGAAAAGCUGUUGUAGUUUGUCCAAAAGAUGAAGACUACAAGCAGAGAACACAGAAGAAAGCAGAAGUAGAGGGAAAAGACCUACCAGAACAUGCAGUCCUUAAAAUGAAAGGUGUGGAAUUGAAUUUUAUUGUUGCUGUCUUGUUUCAUUUUGUGAUCUGUAUCUGAGAAAUUAAUAUUUUGCAAGUACUUUUGUUUGAGGAAUUGCCAUUAACUCUUGGGAAUAUGAAUGUGUUUGGCUCAUUGUAAUUAUUUUCAGAAAAUUCAUUAAACCACUAAACCAUGAGUAGAUAUAGUAAUCUGUUAAAAAUUUUAAGCUAUUCAGGAAUAGGAAGUUUUAGGAUUAUGGAUACUUCCCGUGAGUUUCUGACUUAAUUUGAUUUUAUUCUUGGCAGGUAACUUUACUCUGCCAGAGGUGGCUGAGUGCUUUGAUGAAAUAACCUAUGUUGAACUUCAGAAGGAAGAAGCCCAAAAACUUCUGGAACAGUAUAAGGAAGAAAGCAAAAAGGCACUUCCACCAGAAAAGAAACAAAACACUGGCUCAAAGAAGAGCAAUAAAAACAAGAGUGGCAAGAACCAGUUUAACAGAGGUGGUGGCCAUAGAGGACGUGGAGGAUUCAAUAUGCGUGGUGGAAACUUCAGAGGGGGAGGUAAGUUAAAUUUGAAUAUUGUGUUUAAUUCAAGAUUGAAGUGGGAGAAUCUUGUAACUUGGGUCUGUAACUUAAACAGAAGUUUGUUUCUCAUUGAUCUAUGCUGCCAUCGAAGUAACUAAUUUAAAAUUUUAGUGUGAUUUGAUUCUAAACAAAACUAGGUUGUGUAAAUGCUUAAAAUUAUCUUUUAAUGCUUUUAUCUUAAAAUAUUUAUUUGUAACUAAAAUAAGAAAUGGGCCAGAAGAGGCCUAACUGGGUACCUACUUCCUUGCUUUUAGCUCCUGGGAAUCGUGGUGGAUAUAAUAGGCGGGGCAAUAUGCCACAGAGAGGUGGUGGUGGCGGCGGAAGUGGUGGAAUUGGCUAUCCAUAUCCUCGUGGCCCUGUUUUUCCUGGCCGAGGUGGCUACUCAAACAGAGGGAACUACAACAGAGGUGGAAUGCCCAACAGAGGGAACUAUAACCAGGUAAUGAUAAACAGGCACUGAUGGUCUGUAAUUUAGUCUGUAAAAUUAUAGGCUAAUGUUGAGGAACCUCAAUAAGCAACUAAGGAAAAUGGUGUGUUUGCAUUGAUGUGAGAAAAAAUUUAAUAUUGUAAUGGUAAAACAAAUUCAUUUAUUGGUUUUUCCAGGUAUACUAAGUAGCAAAAACAGGUGGAUUUUUACAAAGAUUUAAAAAUCUAUGAGAAACCUGCAGAAGGGUACCUAGGGCUAUUUCCCCAAAUUAAUGUCUAGCAAGUUGUCCAUUUCUGCCCACUCCCACUUCCCAAUCACGAUCCCUGCAGGCAUGAUAAAUUCUUGGUUAAGACUUAAAAGAUUUUUUUUCCUUUUUGUAGAACUUCAGAGGACGAGGAAACAAUCGUGGCUAUAAAAAUCAAUCUCAGGGCUACAACCAGUGGCAGCAGGGUGUAAGUAAUUUCUUACAUGAUUACAUUAAUUGUAUUUUGAGUAAAAAUCAGUCUCGAAAAGAUCUUGUCCAGGGAUUGAAGUGUUUGUAAACCUUAAUAAGGCAAGGUAUGAAUUGUGUUGUAGUCCAUAAAUAGGUUUGAGUUUGCCAUAACUUACUAUUUUUAACGAAGUAAUAUUUUAAUAUACAGUUCUUUGCUAGCAUUAAUUGUGUAAACUAACCAAGUCAUGAUGUGUUUCUUUUUGUAAUGUGUAUUGAUAAAUAAUGGGAUAAUAAAACUAAAUCUGGUUUGAUAGAAAUCAGAGGUAUGACAAGUAUAAUUUAUUUCCAGCAUUUACUCUGAAUUAGAUUCAUUGUCAUUUCCUAAAAGCAAUUUGAGUGGCUUAUUGAUGUUUUUUCUUUAAAAAAAAAAUUUUCUCUUACAGCAAUUCUGGGGUCAGAAGCCAUGGAGUCAGCAUUAUCACCAAGGAUAUUAUUGAAUACCCAAAUAAAACGAACUGAUACAUAUUUCUCCAAAACCUUCACAAGAAGUCGACUGUUUUCUUUAGUAGGCUAACUUUUUAAACAUUCCACAAGAGGAAGUGCCUGCGGGUUCCUUUUUUAGAAGCUUUGUGGGUUGAUUUUUUUUUUCUUUUCUUUUUUGUACAUUUUUAAUUGCAGUUUUAAAGUGAAUCGUAAGAGAACCUCAGCAUUGUGCACGAUAAGAGAAUGUGUCAGUAUUUCAGGGUUCUACAUUUUAUCUGUAAAAUGUGACUUUUUUUUUUAUCACAACAAAAGUAAAAUGUUGCUUUGUACCUGGUGUCUUUUAUUAAGAAUUUACUCCCCUAUUUCUCACAGAGAAUAACAGUCGGGAGUCAUUGUCACAAUAUAAUAGAAAUGUUAGCAACCAGAUUCAUGUAAGGACUAAGUGGUCCUCAUGAAUUGCAUUAAGACUCUGUACUGCUCAAUAUUACACUCCAUCCUCUCUCUAGUUUGCUGGGUAGUAGUGGAGGGGAUAAGCUAAAUAGUAAUUUCCAAUAAAGACUGGGAAGGCUUUUUCAGUUUAAAUGACAAUGGAAUUGGCAUAAUUGGGAAUGAAGCUAAAACUUGAAACCAACAUGGAGAAGAUGGAGUGUAUGUAGAAGGGCUGUUAAAAAUGUAAAACUUGGUUGCAUUAUUUGUGGAGGCUCAAACUUGUGAAGGUUAAAAUACCAUAAUUUUUCCAUUUGUUCUGCAUUUUGAUUCUGAAAAGAAAGCUGGCUUUGCCCAUUUCUUAUUAAAAAACUUGUUGUAAAUCCAGUUGUCUAAUGGGAUCUAUAUGAAGUUAGCUAUGUCUGUAUGCCCUUCUCCCACAAAAUACUGUAUAACUAGUGUGCUUGUAGUAGUUAACUCCACCAUCUUUGUAAGCUAAUGAAAUUGUGAGUCACCCAUUUAUAUCUUAAUUUUUAAUCAUGUCAGUUCUUGAAUGGGUAUCUCCUUAGCCUGCUGAUUUCUUUUUCUUUCUAAAGAAAGUGGGUGGAGAAAUUAAUUUAGACGUUUGUUUGCAAUAAAAAGAAUUCAUUUUACUCUUGUUUUGGGAUUCUCGCCAUCAAGGUUCAAAAUCCCUUUAUACAACUCCCAAGAGGAGAAAUUUUAAGUGUGUGCUUUCUGG
Molecule: long non-coding RNA, 9553 nt
Filed under: Marmota monax (woodchuck)
Lineage: Eukaryota; Metazoa; Chordata; Mammalia; Rodentia; Sciuridae
Source: RNAcentral